GAUGAACGCUGGCGGCGUGCCUAAUACAUGCAAGUCGAGCGAACGGACGAGAAGCUUGCUUCUCUGAUGUUAGCGGCGGACGGGUGUGUAACACGUGGAUAACCUACCUAUAAGACUGGGAUAACUUCGGGAAACCGGAGCUAAUACCGGAUAAUAUUUUGAACCGCAUGGUUCAAAAGUGAAAGACGGUCUUGCUGUCACUUAUAGAUGGAUCCGCGCUGCAUUAGCUAGUUGGUAAGGUAACGGCUUACCAAGGCAACGAUGCAUAGCCGACCUGAGAGGGUGAUCGGCCACACUGGAACUGAGACACGGUCCAGACUCCUACGGGAGGCAGCAGUAGGGAAUCUUCCGCAAUGGGCGAAAGCCUGACGGAGCAACGCCGCGUAAGUGAUGAAGGUCUUCGGAUCGUAAAACUCUGUUAUUAGGGAAGAACAUAUGUGUAAGUAACUGUGCGCAUCUUGACGGUACCUAAUCAGAAAGCCACGGCUAACUACGUG
Molecule: ribosomal RNA, 497 nt
Filed under: uncultured bacterium
Lineage: Bacteria
Description: partial 16S ribosomal RNA
Rfam family: Bacterial small subunit ribosomal RNA
Source: RNAcentral